UUUUUUUUUUUUUUUUUUUUUUUUCUUCCUUGUGUGAACGUGUGUAAUGUUGAGUGAAGGCUUUUGUGCGAUAGUUGGUCUGCAGAAGUAUUUUGAAGACGUCUGGCAAAACUACAGACAAGAGAGCGAGAGCGCGCGCAAGUGGUGAGGCAGACAAACGCGCGUGCAGCAUCCAGCCAGCCUCCCCAGCGUGCGGUCAACAGCGGCCCAUAGCGGGAGAAAGAAGAAGAGGAGGAGGAGAAGGAUGAGGAAGAUGUGUUGCUUAAAAAAAUCAACCACCACCACACUCAUUGAUUCCUUCCUUACCUGCCUCUCCAUGUGUCCUUCCUGUGACACUCCCUUAAUAAGAACUUUAUGAAAAUGCAUGGCAAACUCUGUAGCGUGGUCUGUGUGAAGAGAGGACCUCCAUGACGCAUAUGAAGAGAGAGAGAGAGAGAGAGAAAGCCUGUCUACCAUACUGUCUGUCUGUCUGUCUGUCUGUCUGUCUGUCUGUCUGUCUGUCUUCGUUCCUGCAAUAUAAAAGACACAGACCUGCACACCUGGAGAUGAAACAACCUCAAAAAAUAAACUCGGACUUCCCGCCUGGGUGCGUCCGCCUCCGUGCAAGUCAUGGGGGGGAGGAGGAGGAGGAGGAGGAAGAGGAGGGGUA
Molecule: long non-coding RNA, 649 nt
Organism: Scylla paramamosain (green mud crab)
Lineage: Eukaryota; Metazoa; Arthropoda; Malacostraca; Decapoda; Portunidae
Exons: 3
Source: RefSeq, a predicted model, not a curated record